RNAcentral lists this ribosomal RNA (454 nucleotides) under uncultured bacterium. Its description in RNAcentral is "partial 16S ribosomal RNA". It matches the Rfam family "Bacterial small subunit ribosomal RNA", at positions 28 to 507 of the family's 1533-position model. The record is from RNAcentral.
GAUGAACGCUGACAGAAUGCUUAACACAUGCAAGUCUACUUGAACUUCGGUUUGGGCGGCGGACGGGUGAGUAACGCGUAAAGAACUUGCCUCACAGUUAGGGACAACAUUUGGAAACGAAUGCUAAUACCUGAUAUUAUGAUUUUAGGGCAUCCUAGGAUUAUGAAAGCUAUAUGUGCUGUGAGAGAGCUUUGCGUCCCAUUAGCUAGUUGGAGAGGUAACGGCUCACCAAGGCGAUGAUGGGUAGCCGGCCUGAGAGGGUGAACGGCCACAAGGGGACUGAGACACGGCCCUUACUCCUACGGGAGGCAGCAGUGGGGAAUAUUGGACAAUGGACCAAAAGUCUGAUCCAGCAAUUCUGUGUGCACGAUGACGUUUUUCGGAAUGUAAAGUGCUUUCAGUUGGGAAGAAAAAAAUGACGGUACCAACAGAAGAAGUGACGGCUAAAUACGUG